AUGCAAGUCGAGGGGUAACAGGGGAGCUUGCUUCCGCUGACGACCGGCGAACGGGUGCGUAACGCGUAUAGAAUCUGCCUUGUACAGGAGGAUAGCCUUUAGAAAUGAAGAUUAAUACUCCAUAAUAUUGAGAAGUGGCAUCACUUUUUAAUUAAACAUUUAUGGGUACAAGAUGACUAUGCGUCCUAUUAGCUAGAUGGUAAGGUAACGGCUUACCAUGGCAACGAUAGGUAGGGGGUCUGAGAGGAUUAUCCCCCACACUGGUACUGAGACACGGACCAGACUCCUACGGGAGGCAGCAGUGAGGAAUAUUGGUCAAUGGAGGCAACUCUGAACCAGCCAUGCCGCGUGCAGGAUGACUGCCCUAUGGGUUGUAAACUGCUUUUAUACAGGAAGAAACAGUCGUACGUGUACGGCCUUGACGGUACUGUAAGAAUAAGCACCGGCUAACUCCGUGCCAGCAGCCGCGGUAAUACGGAGGGUGCAAGCGUUAUCCGGAAUCAUUGGGUUUAAAGGGUCCGCAGGCGGUCAAUUAAGUCAGAGGUGAAAUCCCAUAGCUUAACUAUGG
RNAcentral lists this ribosomal RNA (568 nucleotides) under Tenacibaculum sp. 2764. RNAcentral's name for it is "bacterial SSU rRNA". It matches the Rfam family "Bacterial small subunit ribosomal RNA", at positions 55 to 618 of the family's 1533-position model. Lineage: Bacteria; Pseudomonadati; Bacteroidota; Flavobacteriia; Flavobacteriales; Flavobacteriaceae. The record is from RNAcentral.